GCCCACGUAGCUCAGACGGUAGAGCACAUUCUUGGUAAGAAUGAGGUCAGCGGUUCAAGUCCGCUCGUGGGCU
This 73-nucleotide transfer RNA is filed under the name Candidatus Mycalebacterium zealandia. RNAcentral describes it as "tRNA-Thr". It matches the Rfam family "tRNA". From Rfam's summary of the family: Transfer RNA (tRNA) molecules are approximately 80 nucleotides in length. Their secondary structure includes four short double-helical elements and three loops (D, anti-codon, and T loops). The record is from RNAcentral. Lineage: Bacteria; Pseudomonadati; Thermodesulfobacteriota; Candidatus Dadabacteria; Candidatus Nemesobacterales; Candidatus Mycalebacteriaceae.